Molecule: ribosomal RNA, 449 nt
Filed under: uncultured bacterium
Lineage: Bacteria
Description: bacterial SSU rRNA
Rfam family: Bacterial small subunit ribosomal RNA
Source: RNAcentral
AUUAGCUUGUUGGUGAGGUAACGGCUCACCAAGGCGACGAUCAGUAGCUGGUCUGAGAGGAUGAUCAGCCACACUGGGACUGAGACACGGCCCAGACUCCUACGGGAGGCAGCAGUGGGGAAUAUUGGACAAUGGGCGAAAGCCUGAUCCAGCAAUGCCGCGUGAGUGAAGAAGGCCUUAGGGUUGUAAAACUCUUUCGCCGGUGAAGAUGAUGACUGUAGCCGGUAAAGAAGCCCCGGCUAACUCCGUGCCAGCAGCCGCGGUAAUACGGAGGGGGCUAGCGUUGUUCGGAUUUACUGGGCGUAAAGCGCGCGUAGGCGGUAUAUCAAGUUAGGCGUGAAAGCCCCGGGCUCAACCCGGGAACUGCGCUUAUUACUGAUAAACUAGAGUCCGGGAGAGGGUGGCGGAAUUCCCAGUGUAGAGGUGAAAUUCGUAGAUAUUGGGAAGAA